GCCUAUAAACGUUUAUAAUGCUUUAGUAGGUCCCUCGCUUGAGUAUUUCAAUGACAAUGGUGAUACUAGACCGCUAAUUCGUCCUUUUAAGGGAUAAAAAGGUCCAUUUAGCUCUUCCGUCAAUAAAGGAAAAAGGCAUACAUGUACGGUUUUUAUGUAUUUCCUUUAGUGUUAAUAUCUGUCAGGUGCAGUUCCCUGAGAUUAAACUAUAGCGCUCGCAAGCGAAAUAAAAGUUGAAGUUUGCUCUUUUCGUUUAAACUCCUAAACCAAGGGGAACUACAAAUGUAUGUAUGCCUUCUACCAUCCUUAAAGUUUAUAAAGCGCCCCGAACAUUCUAAACCCUAGUACAUCAAG
Zophobas morio is the source of this 354-nucleotide long non-coding RNA. RefSeq lists it as uncharacterized. The record is from RefSeq and is a predicted model, not a curated record. NCBI's taxonomy places the organism in Eukaryota, Metazoa, Arthropoda, Insecta, Coleoptera, Tenebrionidae. The transcript has 3 exons.